UGUAGACUUGUAUCCAUCUUUUGGUAGGUGUCUUGGCAUUCAGUAGCUGUACAUUCGUCCGAGUCCCUCCACUGGAAGUCAAGUCUUCUUUUUGAGAUGUAUAGACAAACUUGAUGUAAAUUAUUGAGAUAUAUGUUGUAGGCAAUGUACACUUAAAUGGGUAUGCCGGUAUAAGUUGGCAUUGUUUAAUAUUAAUUUGAUUCUAAGUUAUGAAAUGUGAAUUAGUAGUUUAUGAUGGAAUGAUAAACAUGUCAGACUAAUAAGCUUGCUUGGGCUUAAUGGACUAUGUCUAUUGGGCCCUUAUGUCGGUCAUGGCCCGGAAUUUGGGUCGUGACAGUAAAUUAAAUUACAUAUCUUGACUAUUUGUAUUACAGUAUGUAUGAAUUUAUUUCGCUUUUACAAUACAAAAA
RNAcentral lists this long non-coding RNA (410 nucleotides) under Theobroma cacao (cacao). RNAcentral's name for it is "long non-coding RNA (TCAC_LNC002299)". Lineage: Eukaryota; Viridiplantae; Streptophyta; Magnoliopsida; Malvales; Malvaceae. The record is from RNAcentral.